GGUUGAUAUAAUGCCCUGGAGGGUAUCCCUGCAUCUAUGAAGGAGGAUAUGGAUUCUUCGUAUAUCCAUUCUGUCCUGGAUACCUAUUUUCUAUUACAAAUCGCAACUGAUAGCUCAUAAAUGUGUGGUUCACACAUCUCACCGAUAUUCAGCAUAAGCAGUAACUGAAGAGAAGGCAUAUGCAUCACUUGAUUUAGGUUCGGUGCAUUUGUUAUGGCUUUCAGAAACUAAAUUACUCCAGGUAGAGGCUAUUUAUCUUUGUAUUUGUGUCCUGCUCUUUCUCUAGUUGUGGAUCAUUAAGGUUAUAACUGCUGAGAUUCAAAUCCACACACAGAUAUAUAUGUCACUUCUCUAAAGUCUACUAAAAGUAAAUUACAAUGUAAUAAACUACUUAAAAACAAUGCACAUUCUAAAGUUUUUGCUGCUCAGAAGCUGUUGUGAAAAACAUGUAUUGGUGACUGGCAUCGAGUCAGAGGUAGCUGGCAAAAGUCACAUGUCUCUGGGUGUUUCCUCUCUGGCCAGUAUUCAAUAGCUGGAUCAGUUAAGCAGCAGUCACAGGGCUACAGCAUCACUCUGGUGGACCUGUGCUCUUACUAAGCCUCAAGGUAAACUUAUACCUACCAUACUGGAAACAUGCCUAAUUCUUCCAUACUGAGAGAAAACCAUUACAUAAUUCACCUUUAUUGGGAUGUGUCAGUAGAUUACAUAGCUUUUGAUAUUCAUUUUGUCUAGGUGAUGCCCACAGCAGGUGCCCCCAAUAAUCCACCAUAGCAGGACUACUAAUGUGAACUGGAUGAUUUUCUCUAUUAUUUUGGACUAGUGGCAGUGUUGUGAACAACAGUGACCUACUACCAUGUAAGACAACUGAAACUGGCCUACAUGGUGGGCUAUGGUGUAUGCCCAACCCUUUGUGGAUGCUUAUGGAAAGAGGACACAAUUUCAGAAACAGUUAGCACUUGUUUCAGUGCCCUUUGUUUAAAGAAAUAAGGCUGCCACAAUGAUUUCUGGAUAUAGUCACAUGAAUAGUUUGAAAUGCAGAUCUCCUCCAAAAUAUACGUCUACUGUUUGGCAAAGGUUGCUUUUAAUGAUGAAUAGUGGAGGCUGCAUCCUCCAUUACCUUAAAAAAAAAAAAAAAAAGGUUAGAUCACUUGUUCCAGAAAAUGAAAUGAAUCUAAACCUUCUGGGUAUCUCAGACUGCAAUUUAUAACCCACUUACUCUGGAGCACUCCUAUUGAAAUCCCAAUGAAGUCAGUGUGAUUGCUCCACGAUUAUUCCAGAGUAAUAGAUUGUGAAUUGCAGCACCAAUGAGUAGGUAGCACAUAUUAAUCAUUUCAAAUAUCUACCAACCUUUCUCACUGUCUGAACUGCUUGAGUGUCAGGAAAUACUUAAGCUCUAGUUUUCUUUUCACUCUGCAGUUCCAAUUACUUCACUUCUGCUCUGCUACCUUGACAGGAAUCGCACUGAACAAUUCAGUAUUACAACAAAGAUUCCUAGAUAACAGGAAACAACAUGUUCAUUUUGAUCAGAUGCAGGUGAGGUGGUGACUGUCCUGAAUCAGUGCCUGGAUGCAGCAAUGGACUGGAUGAGAGUGAACAAAUUGAGGCUCAAUCCAGACAAGACAGAAGUACUAUUGAUUUUAUUAGGCAAUCUGCCCAUUGCAGAGAACCUUUGCUAAGUAUUUUCAGCAUGACACAACUUUUAAUGAGGAUAUUGACAUAUGAACAUGCAAAGAUAUCAAGAAAUCCUAUCAUAACUUUUAAUUGUAGGUAAAAUAAUUGCAGUCUACAAAUGUUUGGCAAGCAAUCAGGAUUGUGUUUUUUCAGGUGUUCUAUUAUAUAGUAACAAAAACAUAAUGAAAUUUCAAGAAAAUAUUGUUUCAUUGCAAGGUUAUAAACUAUACAUAUUUUUACUGACCAGUGAGGUUGUGUUGAUAUAUUCAGGGGCUUAAACAAACAUGUGAUGCAGUAUA
Molecule: long non-coding RNA, 1970 nt
Organism: Hemicordylus capensis (graceful crag lizard)
Lineage: Eukaryota; Metazoa; Chordata; Lepidosauria; Squamata; Cordylidae
Exons: 3
Source: RefSeq, a predicted model, not a curated record